RNAcentral lists this transfer RNA (72 nucleotides) under Parcubacteria group bacterium. Its description in RNAcentral is "tRNA-Val". It matches the Rfam family "tRNA". From Rfam's summary of the family: Transfer RNA (tRNA) molecules are approximately 80 nucleotides in length. Their secondary structure includes four short double-helical elements and three loops (D, anti-codon, and T loops). The record is from RNAcentral.
AAGGACCUAGUCUAAUUGGUAAAACAUCAUCAUUACAUGAUGAAGUUGGAGGUUCGAAUCCUUCGGUCCUUA